Peromyscus eremicus (cactus mouse) is the source of this 200-nucleotide long non-coding RNA. RefSeq lists it as uncharacterized. Lineage: Eukaryota; Metazoa; Chordata; Mammalia; Rodentia; Cricetidae. The record is from RefSeq and is a predicted model, not a curated record. The transcript has 2 exons.
GGCAACCUGUGUACAGCUAGAUGCCUCUGGUGAUAGUUAAAGGGAGAUCUGGAACCAGAGGCAUAAACACAAAAUUAAAUUAAACAAGAAGCAGAUAACUGAAAUAGCCUUGAAGCACACAGCAUUAGUGGAGUCAUGCAAGCAUUCUGGAAUGAGGACUGUAGCAGGUCCAGAGCCUCCUUCAUUACUGGAACACCCCU